UAAGGGCGUUUUAGAAUAAGAGCGCUGCCACCGCGCUGCUUUGUAAAUCCAUAUUCGAUCGAUGAUCUGACGCGCGGCCGCAGGGCAGGUGUAGCGCUGCAGUCGCGCGUUUAUAUUUAUAUGGAUUUACAAAGCAGCGCGGGCGCAGCGAUGCAAGCGCGCUGCCUCCGUGCGGCACUUUGCGGAGGAAAAGGCGGAAAUUUGAAGGAGUCCU
Maniola jurtina (meadow brown) is the source of this 214-nucleotide long non-coding RNA. RefSeq lists it as uncharacterized. The record is from RefSeq and is a predicted model, not a curated record. NCBI's taxonomy places the organism in Eukaryota, Metazoa, Arthropoda, Insecta, Lepidoptera, Nymphalidae. The transcript is spliced from 4 exons.